RNAcentral lists this transfer RNA (80 nucleotides) under Oscillospiraceae bacterium. RNAcentral describes it as "tRNA-Leu". It matches the Rfam family "tRNA". Rfam says of the family: Transfer RNA (tRNA) molecules are approximately 80 nucleotides in length. Their secondary structure includes four short double-helical elements and three loops (D, anti-codon, and T loops). Further hydrogen bonds mediate the characteristic L-shaped molecular structure. tRNAs have two regions of fundamental functional importance: the anti-codon, which is responsible for specific mRNA codon recognition, and the 3' end, to which the tRNAs corresponding amino acid is attached (by aminoacyl-tRNA synthetases). tRNAs cope with the degeneracy of the genetic code in two manners: having more than one tRNA (with a specific anti-codon) for a particular amino acid; and 'wobble' base-pairing, i.e. permitting non-standard base-pairing at the 3rd anti-codon position. The record is from RNAcentral. Lineage: Bacteria; Bacillati; Bacillota; Clostridia; Eubacteriales; Oscillospiraceae.
GCGGAUAUGGCGGAAUUGGCAGACGCGCCGGAUUUAGGUUCCGGUGGGCGACCGUGGAGGUUCGAGUCCUCUUGUCCGCA